ACGCCUUCAUGGUGCCUCUCGCUCACUGCCACAGUAAAAGAGGAAGCAGCAGGGCGGAGCAUGCGCACGUCAAAUGGAGGGCGGAAGUUCCUCAGAGGUGCCGUCCGAGUGGAGUUCCCCCUAGAAACCCAAGAAGAUUCUCUCUGCUCUGACUGGAUGCCUGAGUGUGGGAGAAUCAGCUGAUCAGUACCUGUACCUGCUGAGCUGUCUGCUGUGUCCUGUCAUGUGACCCUGCCAGGUGUUCACAUACUCAUGGAAUCUUUAACCUUGUAUAACUAUAAGAAGAAGAAGAAAAACAAGAAGAAGAAUGUAUUAUCUUGGCAAAUGUAUUCUUUAGUGUCUUUGGACUUCAUAAGAAACAGAUCUAGUAAUCAUGGUCUAUGUGCUUGCCCAUAAAAGUUCAUCUUUCCCAUACUGAACCCAUCUUGUGACUUUCAUUGAAGAAAACAAACUAGAUGUUAAGUCUGUGACCUCAGGAACAACACAAAGGGCCUACUGUGUUUCCUGUCCUGUUAUUGUCACCUUUUAGCUUUUUGCAUGUCUGAUUUAAAAUAAACAAAGCGGUCUUGAUUCAACAUCUCCAUGUCAAUGAAUCUACUGAUCUAAUGAAGCAAAGGCUGUGUAAGACAGAGAGAACGACAGUUCCAGCUGAACUUUAACUUUUAACCUCAGACUUAAAUCCAGCCAAAAUUCAGCCUGAAGCUUCUCUGCAGUCUGACAGCUUCAUUGAAAAAAUAUAUAAAUAAAUAAAAUAAAAUAAAUCAAGAAAAGAUUGCACAAACAGAGGAAUUAAAAAUGCUAAUGAAAUGUUCAAAAUUAGAGUUAGGGUUCACUUGUUGGAUCACUUGUUUUUCUAUUGUGAAUCAGUUCACUCCUUUUGAAUUGAU
Oreochromis niloticus (Nile tilapia) is the source of this 887-nucleotide long non-coding RNA. RefSeq lists it as uncharacterized. The transcript is spliced from 3 exons. Lineage: Eukaryota; Metazoa; Chordata; Actinopteri; Cichliformes; Cichlidae. The record is from RefSeq and is a predicted model, not a curated record.